This 107-nucleotide ribosomal RNA is filed under the name Staphylococcus pseudintermedius. Its description in RNAcentral is "partial 23S ribosomal RNA". It matches the Rfam family "Bacterial large subunit ribosomal RNA", at positions 1 to 107 of the family's 2925-position model. Lineage: Bacteria; Bacillati; Bacillota; Bacilli; Caryophanales; Staphylococcaceae. The record is from RNAcentral.
GAUUAAGUUAUUAAGGGCGCACGGUGGAUGCCUUGGCACUAGAAGCCGACGAAGGACGUUACUAACGACGAUAUGCUUUGGGGAGCUGUAAGUAAGCUUUGAUCCAA